CCUACGGGUGGCAGCAGUGAGGAAUAUUGGUCAAUGGACGAGAGUCUGAACCAGCCAAGUAGCGUGAAGGAUGACUGCCCUAUGGGUUGUAAACUUCUUUUAUAUGGGAAUAAAAUGUUCCACGUGUGGGAUUUUGUAUGUACCAUAUGAAUAAGGAUCGGCUAACUCCGUGCCAGCAGCCGCGGUAAUACGGAGGAUCCGAGCGUUCUCCGGAUUUAUUGGGUUUAAAGGGAGCGUAGGUGGAUUGUUAAGUCAGUUGUGAAAGUUUGCGGCUCAACCGUAAAAUUGCAGUUGAAACUGGCAGUCUUGAGUACAGUAGAGGGGGGCGGAAUUCGUGGUGUAGCGGUGAAAUGCGUAGAUAUCACGAAGAACUCCGAUUGCGAAGGCAGUUCACUGGACUGCAACUGACACUGAGGCUCGAAAGUGUGGGUAUCAAACAGGAUUAGAUACCCCUGUAGUC
This 460-nucleotide ribosomal RNA is filed under the name uncultured bacterium. Its description in RNAcentral is "partial 16S ribosomal RNA". It matches the Rfam family "Bacterial small subunit ribosomal RNA", at positions 338 to 795 of the family's 1533-position model. The record is from RNAcentral.